GAACAAGUGAAUUCCAAAGUGGGUUGAACUUGUUGCGACGAUUAUACAUCACACGUGUUAGGUAGUUAUGCACUUCUUUGGGACCCAAGGAGUUCCCAUCAUCCCACAUGUUGUCAUACAAGAUAAGCUCAUCAAGGUACUUCAUUAUCUCCUGAAAAUCACUUAUUUCACCACUUGCACCAAGAAGGGAGUGUUUUCCCACUGGCUUUAAUCGAUCCACACUCUUGUAACGUAUCGUUGAACCAUAGGAACCUCCCAUGUCAGCUGCCAAGAGAAUACCAUCUUUGUACUUGAUGCCGACAACUGAUGUCCCAGUCACAUAUGGAAACUGUGUUCUCUGAAUAUCAGAUUCGGGACUCAUUAAGCUACUUUUAGCCGGAGCUGAAUCCAUCACAUUCAUCGUCGGAAAUCGGAAUAGUUGAUCUUCGAUCGGAGAAAAAAUAGCAGAG
RNAcentral lists this unclassified non-coding RNA (449 nucleotides) under Hevea brasiliensis (rubber tree). The record is from RNAcentral. Lineage: Eukaryota; Viridiplantae; Streptophyta; Magnoliopsida; Malpighiales; Euphorbiaceae.